Molecule: ribosomal RNA, 464 nt
Filed under: uncultured bacterium
Lineage: Bacteria
Description: partial 16S ribosomal RNA
Rfam family: Bacterial small subunit ribosomal RNA
Source: RNAcentral
CUACGGGGGGCUGCAGUGGGGAAUAUUGCACAAUGGGCGCAAGCCUGAUGCAGCCAUGCCGCGUGUAUGAAGAAGGCCUUCGGGUUGUAAAGUACUUUUAGCGGGGAGGAAGGGAGUAAAGUUAAUACCUUUGCUCAUUGACGUUACCCGCAGAAGAAGCACCGGCUAACUCCGUGCCAGCAGCCGCGGUAAUACGGAGGGUGAAAGCGUUAAUCGGAAUUACUGGGCGUAAAGCGCACGCAGGCGGUUUGUUAAGUCAGAUGUGAAAUCCCCGGGCUCAACCUGGGAACUGCAUCUGAUACUGGCAAGCUUGAGUCUCGUAGAGGGGGGUAGAAUUCCAGGUGUAGCGGUGAAAUGCGUAGAGAUCUGGAGGAAUACCGGUGGCGAAGGCGGCCCCCUGGACGAAGACUGACGCUCAGGUGCGAAAGCGUGGGGAGCAAACAGGAUUAGAUACCCUUGUAGUC